GAUGAAGAACGUAGCGAAAUGCGAUAAGUAAUGUGAAUUGCAGAAUUCCGUGAGUCAUCGAAUCUUUGAACGCACAUUGCGCCCACUGGUAUUCCGGUGGGCAUGCCUGUUCGAGCGUCAUUAUCCUCCCUCAAACCCCGGGUUUGGUGUUGGACCCAAGUUGUGUGAACAACUGGUCUCAAAGACAAUGACGGCGUCCGUGGGACCCUCGGUGCAACGAGCUUUUAGGAGCACGCAUCGAGUUGCAAGGACCUUCCGGGCCGGUCUCCUUUACCAUUUUACAAGGUUGACCUCGGAUCAGGUAGGAAUACCCGCUGAACUUAAGCAUAUCAAUAAGCGGAGGA
RNAcentral lists this unclassified non-coding RNA (344 nucleotides) under soil metagenome. RNAcentral describes it as "partial contains 5.8S ribosomal RNA, internal transcribed spacer 2, and large subunit ribosomal RNA". The stretch from base 1 to 120 matches the Rfam family "5.8S ribosomal RNA", at positions 35 to 154 of the family's 154-position model. The record is from RNAcentral.